GGAAUAUUGGGCAAUGGACGCAAGUCUGACCCAGCGACGCCGCGUGCGGGAUGAAGGCCUUCGGGUUGUAAACCGCUUUCAGCAGGGAAGAAGCGAAAGUGACGGUACCUGCAAAAGAAGCACCGGCUAACUAUGUGCCAGCAGCCGCGGUAAUACAUAGGGUGCAAGCGUUGUCCGGAAUUAUUGGGCGUAAAGAGUUCGUAGGUGGUUCGUUACGUCGGAUGUGAAAAUCUGGGGCUCAACCCCAGACCUGCAUUCGAUACGGGCGAGCUAGAGUUUGGUAGGGGAGACUGGAAUUCCUGGUGUAGCGGUGGAAUGCGCAGAUAUCAGGAGGAACACCAAUGGCGAAGGCAGGUCUCUGGGCCAAUACUGACACUGAGGAACGAAAGCGUGGGGAGCGAACAGGAUUAGAUACCCUGGUAGUCCACGCCGUAAACGGUGGGCGCUAGUUGUGGGGACCUUCCACGGUCUCUGCGACGCAGCUAACGCAUUAAGCGCCCCGCCUGGGGAGUACGAUCGCAAGAUUAAAACUCAAAUGAAUUGACGG
RNAcentral lists this ribosomal RNA (547 nucleotides) under uncultured bacterium. RNAcentral describes it as "bacterial SSU rRNA". It matches the Rfam family "Bacterial small subunit ribosomal RNA", at positions 358 to 916 of the family's 1533-position model. The record is from RNAcentral.